RNAcentral lists this ribosomal RNA (418 nucleotides) under uncultured bacterium. RNAcentral's name for it is "bacterial SSU rRNA". It matches the Rfam family "Bacterial small subunit ribosomal RNA", at positions 358 to 769 of the family's 1533-position model. The record is from RNAcentral.
AGAAUUUUUCUCAAUGGGGGAAACCCUGAAGGAGCGACGCCGCGUGGAGGAUGAAGGUCUUCGGAUUGUAAACUCCUGUCAUUGGUGAACAAGGCCAGUGGUUAACUGCCAUAUGGUUUGAUAGUAGCCGAAGAGGAAGAGACGGCUAACUCUGUGCCAGCAGCCGCGGUAAUACAGAGGUCUCAAGCGUUGUUCGGACUCAUUGGGCGAAAAGGGUGCGUAGGCGGCGAGGCAAGUCUGGUGUGAAAUCCCGGGGCUCAACCCCGGAACUGCACUGGAUACUGCUUUGCUAGAGUACUGGAGAGGGAACUGGAAUUUACGGUGUAGCAGUGAAAUGCGUAGAUAUCGUAAGGAAGACCAGCGGCGAAGGCGAGUUCCUGGACAGUUACUGACGCUGAGGCACGAAGGCCAGGGGAGC